CAGUGAGUGGCGAACUGGUGAGUAACACGUGGGAAACCUGCCCAGAAGCGGGGGAUAACACCUGGAAACAGAUGCUAAUACCGCAUAACAACUUGGACCGCAUGGUCCGAGUUUGAAAGAUGGCUUCGGCUAUCACUUUUGGAUGGUCCCGCGGCGUAUUAGCUAGAUGGUGGGGUAACGGCUCACCAUGGCAAUGAUACGUAGCCGACCUGAGAGGGUAAUCGGCCACAUUGGGACUGAGACACGGCCCAAACUCCUACGGGAGGCAGCAGUAGGGAAUCUUCCACAAUGGACGAAAGUCUGAUGGAGCAACGCCGCGUGAGUGAAGAAGGGUUUCGGCUCGUAAAACUCUGUUGUUAAAGAAGAACAUAUCUGAGAGUAACUGUUCAGGUAUUGACGGUAUUUAACCAGAAAGCCACGGCUAACUACGUGCCAGCAGCCGCGGUAAUACGUAGGUGGCAAGCGUUGUCCGGAUUUAUUGGGCGUAAAGCGAGCGCAGGCGGUUUUUUAAGUCUGAUGUGAAAGCCUUCGGCUCAACCGAAGAAGUGCAUCGGAAACUGGGAAACUUGAGUGCAGAAGAGGACAGUGGAACUCCAUGUGUAGCGGUGAAAUGCGUAGAUAUAUGGAAGAACACCAGUGGCGAAGGCGGCUGUCUGGUCUGUAACUGACGCUGAGGCUCGAAAGUAUGGGUAGCAAACAGGAUUAGAUACCCUGGUAGUCCAUACCGUAAACGAUGAAUGCUAAGUGUUGGAGGGUUUCCGCCCUUCAGUGCUGCAGCUAACGCAUUAAGCAUUCCGCCUGGGGAGUACGGCCGCAAGGCUGAAACUCAAAGGAAUUGACGGGGGCCCGCACAAGCGGUGGAGCAUGUGGUUUAAUUCGAAGCUACGC
RNAcentral lists this ribosomal RNA (888 nucleotides) under Lactiplantibacillus plantarum. RNAcentral's name for it is "bacterial SSU rRNA". It matches the Rfam family "Bacterial small subunit ribosomal RNA", at positions 89 to 962 of the family's 1533-position model. Lineage: Bacteria; Bacillati; Bacillota; Bacilli; Lactobacillales; Lactobacillaceae. The record is from RNAcentral.